Molecule: ribosomal RNA, 194 nt
Filed under: uncultured eukaryote
Lineage: Eukaryota
Description: partial 18S ribosomal RNA
Rfam family: Eukaryotic small subunit ribosomal RNA
Source: RNAcentral
GGAACCUGGUUGAUCCUGCCAGUAGCAUACGCUUGUCUCAAAGAUUAAGCCAUGCAUGUCUAAGUAUAAACGACUAUACUGUGAAACUGCGAAUGGCUCAUUAUAUCAGUUAUAGUUUAUUUGAUGGUCUCUACUACUUGGAUAACCGUAGUAAUUCUAGAGCUAAUACAUGCCUCCAACCUAGACUUCGGAAU